Molecule: ribosomal RNA, 741 nt
Filed under: uncultured bacterium
Lineage: Bacteria
Description: bacterial SSU rRNA
Rfam family: Bacterial small subunit ribosomal RNA
Source: RNAcentral
CAGUCGAACGGUAACAGGAAGAAGCUUGCUUCUUUGCUGACGAGUGGCGGACGCGUUAGUAAUGCUUGGGUAUCUGGCUUAUGGAGGGGGAUAACUACGGGAAACUGUAGCUAAUACCGCGUAGUAUCGGAAGAUGAAAGUGUGGGACCGUAAGGCCACAUGCCAUAGGAUGAGCCCAAGUGGGAUUAGGUAGUUGGUGAGGUAAUGGCUCACCAAGCCGACGAUCUCUAGCUGGUCUGAGAGGAUGACCAGCCACACCGGGACUGAGACACGGCCCGGACUCCUACGGGAGGCAGCAGUGGGGAAUAUUGCGCAAUGGGGGCAACCCUGACGCAGCCAUGCCGCGUGAAUGAAGAAGGCCUUCGGGUUGUAAAGUUCUUUCGGUAGCGAGGAAGGCAUUUAGUUUAAUAGACUAGAUGAUUGACGUUAACUACAGAAGAAGCACCGGCUAACUCCGUGCCAGCAGCCGCGGUAAUACGGAGGGUGCGAGCGUUAAUCGGAAUAACUGGGCGUAAAGGGCACGCAGGCGGACUUUUAAGUGAGGUGUGAAAGCCCCGGGCUUAACCUGGGAAUUGCAUUUCAGACUGGGAGUCUAGAGUACUUUAGGGAGGGGUAGAAUUCCACGUGUAGCGGUGAAAUGCGUAGAGAUGUGGAGGAAUACCGAAGGCGAAGGCAGCCCCUUGGGAAUGUACUGACGCUCAUGUGCGAAAGCGUGGGGAGCAAACAGGAUUAGAUACCCUG